RNAcentral lists this ribosomal RNA (479 nucleotides) under uncultured bacterium. RNAcentral's name for it is "partial 16S ribosomal RNA". It matches the Rfam family "Bacterial small subunit ribosomal RNA", at positions 28 to 507 of the family's 1533-position model. The record is from RNAcentral.
GAUGAACGCUGGCCGCGUGCUUAACACAUGCAAGUCGAACGAAGCACCUUGAUUUGAUUCUUCGGAUGAAGAUCUUGGUGACUGAGUGGCGGACGGGUGAGUAACGCGUGGGUAACCUGCCUCAUACAGGGGGAUAACAGUUAGAAAUGACUGCUAAUACCGCAUAAGACCACAGCACCGCAUGGUGCAGGGGUAAAAACUCCGGUGGUAUGAGAUGGACCCGCGUCUGAUUAGGUAGUUGGUGGGGUAACGGCCUACCAAGCCGACGAUCAGUAGCCGACCUGAGAGGGUGACCGGCCACAUUGGGACUGAGACACGGCCCAAACUCCUACGGGAGGCAGCAGUGGGGAAUAUUGCACAAUGGGGGAAACCCUGAUGCAGCGACGCCGCGUGAGCGAUGAAGUAUUUCGGUAUGUAAAGCUCUAUCAGCAGGGAAGAAAAUGACGGUACCUGACUAAGAAGCACCGGCUAAAUACGUG